GAUGAACGCUGGCGGCGUGCCUAAUACAUGCAAGUCGAGCGAACAGACGCUGAGCUUGCUCCUCUCACGUUAGCGGCGGACGUGUGAGUAACACGUGUAUAACCUCCCUAUCAUACUGGUAUCACUUCGGGACACCGGCGCUAAUCCCGUAUAAUCUCUUGAUCCGCAUUGUUCAUUAGUGAAAGACGGUUUUUCUGUCACUUCUCGCUGGUUCUGCGCCGCUUUAGCUAGUUGGUAAGGUAACGGCUUACCAAGGCAACGAUGCGUAGCCGACGUGAGAGGGUGGUAGGCCGCACGAGAACUGGAACGCGGUCAAGGGGACUAAGGGAGGCAGCAGUAGGGAAUGGUACGCAGUGGGCGGAAGCCUGGCGGAGCAACGCGGAGUGAGUGAUGAAGGUCUUCGGAUCGUAAAACUCUGUUAUUAGGGAAGAACAAAUGUGGAGGGAAAUAUAGACGUAGUGACGGUAACUAAUAAGAAAGCAACGGCUAACUACGUG
Molecule: ribosomal RNA, 497 nt
Filed under: uncultured bacterium
Lineage: Bacteria
Description: partial 16S ribosomal RNA
Rfam family: Bacterial small subunit ribosomal RNA
Source: RNAcentral